CAACAGGGAUUGCCCUAGUAACGGCGAGUGAAGCGGCAACAGCUCAAAUUUGAAAUCUGGCUCUUUUAGAGUCCGAGUUGUAAUUUGCAGAGGGCGCUUUGGCUUUGGCAGCGGUCCAAGUUCCUUGGAACAGGACGUCACAGAGGGUGAGAAUCCCGUACGUGGUCGCUAGCUAUUGCCGUGUAAAGCCCCUUCGACGAGUCGAGUUGUUUGGGAAUGCAGCUCUAAAUGGGAGGUAAAUUUCUUCUAAAGCUAAAUACUGGCCAGAGACCGAUAGCGCACAAGUAGAGUGAUCGAAAGAUGAAAAGCACUUUGGAAAGAGAGUCAAACAGCACGUGAAAUUGUUGAAAGGGAAGCGCUUGCAGCCAGACUUGCUUGCAGUUGCUCAUCCGGGCUUUUGCCCGGUGCACUCUUCUGCAGGCAGGCCAGCAUCAGUUUGGGCGGUGGGAUAAAGGUCUCUGUCACGUACCUCUCUUCGGGGAGGCCUUAUAGGGGAGACGACAUACCACCAGCCUGGACUGAGGUCCGCGCAUUCGCUAGGAUGCUGGCGUAAUGGCUGUAAGCGGCCCGUCUUGAAACACGGACCAAGGAGUCUAACAUCUAUGCGAGUGUUUGGGUGUCAAGCCCGAACGCGUAAUGAAAGUGAACGGAGGUGGGAACCCGCAAGGGUGCACCAUCGACCGAUCCUGAUGUCUUCGGAAGGAUUUGAGUAAGAGCAUGGCUGUUGGGACCCGAAAGAUGGUGAACUAUGCUUGAAUAGGGUGAAGCCAGAGGAAACUCUGGUGGAGGCUCGCAGCGGUUCUGACGUGCAAAUCGAUCGUCAAAUUUGGGCAUAGGGGCGAAAGACUAAUCGA
RNAcentral lists this ribosomal RNA (854 nucleotides) under Pyrenophora erythrospila. Its description in RNAcentral is "partial large subunit ribosomal RNA". It matches the Rfam family "Eukaryotic large subunit ribosomal RNA", at positions 66 to 938 of the family's 3401-position model. The record is from RNAcentral. Lineage: Eukaryota; Fungi; Ascomycota; Dothideomycetes; Pleosporales; Pleosporaceae.